UUUCCGUAGGUGAACCUACGGAAGGAUCAUUACCGAGUGAGGGUCUAUCAGGCCCGACCUCCAAUCCUGUGCUUUUGUGACCUUGUUGCUUUGGCGGGCCUGCCUCGAUGAGAGGCCGCCGGAAGCCCACCGCCUUGGGCCCGUGCCCAUCAGUAGCCCCCUUAAAUUCUUAAUAAACCUGUCGUCUGAGUUAAUGGAUAUAAUGAAAAAAAACUUUCAACAACGGAUCUCUUGGUUCUG
RNAcentral lists this unclassified non-coding RNA (240 nucleotides) under plant metagenome. RNAcentral's name for it is "partial contains small subunit ribosomal RNA, internal transcribed spacer 1, and 5.8S ribosomal RNA". The record is from RNAcentral.